This is a long non-coding RNA of Drosophila virilis, 705 nucleotides long. RefSeq lists it as uncharacterized. NCBI's taxonomy places the organism in Eukaryota, Metazoa, Arthropoda, Insecta, Diptera, Drosophilidae. The record is from RefSeq and is a predicted model, not a curated record.
CAACAAAAUUAUAUUAUAUAAUCAUACUAAAUUUUACUUCAUAAUAAUUUCAAAAUUUCUUCAACCAGAUUACAUCGUUACAAGUAACCAAUGUUACGUUUGUAAAUAGCAGAACUUUCUGCAAAUCCGACAAAUCUAGUCGGAAAUGAUCAACUAGCGGAUACCCUGAACUUUCCUUUAACAACAUUAAAUGCAGCUACGCGCUCGUUACUUCACUGUAACUGUGACUGAGGGUUCAGGGCAUAAAAAUUGGUGUUAAGAAUAGACAGCUAGAAGGAAGAUUCAAUGAAUUGAGUAAAAAGGCAUUCUGUGGUUUCAGUGAUGCCGACCAAAUACCAAAAACAGAAGUUGUUGGGGCACAGUGAGGCACAAUGAAUUCAAAAAUCACCUAGAGGGCCUACACUUGAUUUAUUGCUGAAGGAGCGAAGCCGUUGUCAUAAAUCCUGAAUAUCAAAGUUGCCUCAAUAUACAUUUCCGCCGUUCGACAAUGGUUUCUUUUACAACAAGGCGAAUAAUGCUGACCAAGUGUCUCCUCUUUAGGUCUCAUGCUGUCCUAAUCCCAAUUUUCAAUCACAAGCUACAACUCAGCGCUUCAGUUCGACUAGUUUCAACUUAGUUAGAUUCAACUCACUUUUAAGCAGUGCGUUGAUCACCAACUUUCAGGUCAAGCUCUUUUAAAUACAUGUAUUUCUUUGUGAACACGUA